UGAGGAAUAUUGGACAAUGGAUGGAAAUCUGAUCCAGCCAUGCCGCGUGCAGGAAGAAUGUCCUAUGGAUUGUAAACUGCUUUUGUAUGGGAGCAAUAAGGUCUUCGUGAAGGCCGAUGAGAGUACCAUACGAAUAAGCACCGGCUAACUCCGUGCCAGCAGCCGCGGUAAUACGGAGGGUGCAAGCGUUAUCCGGAUUUAUUGGGUUUAAAGGGUGCGUAGGCGGUUAUAUAAGUCAGCGGUGAAAUUUUUCGGCUCAACCGGAAACAUGCCGUUGAUACUGUAUAGCUUGAAUAUGGUUGCUGUGAGUGGAAUGUGUAGUGUAGCGGUGAAAUGCUUAGAUAUUACACAGAAUAUCGAUUGCGAAGGCAGCUUACUGGGAUACAACUGACGCUGAGGCACGAAAGCGUGGGGAUCAAACA
Molecule: ribosomal RNA, 422 nt
Filed under: uncultured prokaryote
Description: bacterial SSU rRNA
Rfam family: Bacterial small subunit ribosomal RNA
Source: RNAcentral